AUUGAACGCUGGCGGCAUGCCUUACACAUGCAAGUCGAACGGCAGCACGGGUGCUUGCCCCUGGUGGCGAGUGGCGAACGGGUGAGUAAUACAUCGGAACAUGUCCUGUAGUGGGGGAUAGCCCGGCGAAAGCCGGAUUAAUACCGCAUACGAUCUACGGAUGAAAGCGGGGGACCUUCGGGCCUCGCGCUAUAGGGUUGGCCGAUGGCUGAUUAGCUAGUUGGUGGGGUAAAGGCCUACCAAGGCGACGAUCAGUAGCUGGUCUGAGAGGACGACCAGCCACACUGGGACUGCGACACGGCCCAGACUCCUACGGGAGGCAGCAGUGGGGAAUUUUGGACAAUGGGCGAAAGCCUGAUCCAGCAAUGCCGCGUGUGUGAAGAAGGCCUUCGGGUUGUAAAGCACUUUUGUCCGGAAAGAAAUCCUUGGCCCUAAUACGGUCGGGGGAUGACGGUACCGGAAGAAUAAGCACCGGCUAACUACGUG
This 486-nucleotide ribosomal RNA is filed under the name uncultured bacterium. RNAcentral describes it as "partial 16S ribosomal RNA". It matches the Rfam family "Bacterial small subunit ribosomal RNA", at positions 30 to 507 of the family's 1533-position model. The record is from RNAcentral.